Molecule: ribosomal RNA, 740 nt
Filed under: uncultured bacterium
Lineage: Bacteria
Description: bacterial SSU rRNA
Rfam family: Bacterial small subunit ribosomal RNA
Source: RNAcentral
GCUUACCAUGCAGUCGAGCGAUGAAACUCCUUCGGGAGUGGAUUAGCGGCGGACGGGUGAGUAACACGUGGGUAACCUACCUCAAAGAGGGGGAUAGCCUCCCGAAAGGGAGAUUAAUACCGCAUAAUAAUCAAUUUUCACAUGGGAAUUGAUUUAAAGGAGUGAUCCGCUUUGAGAUGGACCCGCGGCGCAUUAGCUAGUUGGUAGGGUAACGGCCUACCAAGGCGACGAUGCGUAGCCGACCUGAGAGGGUGAUCGGCCACAUUGGAACUGAGAGACGGUCCAGACUCCUACGGGAGGCAGCAGUGGGGAAUAUUGCACAAUGGGCGAAAGCCUGAUGCAGCAACGCCGCGUGAGUGAAGAAGGUUUUCGGAUUGUAAAGCUCUGUCUUUGGGGACGAUAAUGACGGUACCCAAGGAGGAAGCCACGGCUAACUACGUGCCAGCAGCCGCGGUAAUACGUAGGUGGCAAGCGUUGUCCGGAAUUACUGGGCGUAAAGAGUGCGUAGGCGGAUAUUUAAGUGAGAUGUGAAAUACCCGGGCUUAACCCGGGCACUGCAUUUCAAACUGGAUAUCUAGAGUGCGGGAGAGGAGAAUGGAAUUCCUAGUGUAGCGGUGAAAUGCGUAGAGAUUAGGAAGAACACCAGUGGCGAAGGCGAUUCUCUGGACCGUAACUGACGCUGAGGCACGAAAGCGUGGGUAGCAAACAGGAUUAGAUACCCUGGUAGUCCACGCCGUAAA